Molecule: ribosomal RNA, 416 nt
Filed under: uncultured Desulfobulbus sp.
Lineage: Bacteria; Pseudomonadati; Thermodesulfobacteriota; Desulfobulbia; Desulfobulbales; Desulfobulbaceae
Description: bacterial SSU rRNA
Rfam family: Bacterial small subunit ribosomal RNA
Source: RNAcentral
UUACCUGGUCUUGACAUCCCGGAGACCCUUAGGAAACUAGGGGUGCUCCAUCUGGAAGGAAUCUGGAGACAGGUGCUGCAUGGCUGUCGUCAGCUCGUGUCGUGAGAUGUUGGGUUAAGUCCCGCAACGAGCGCAACCCUUGCCUUUAGUUGCCAGCAGUUCGGCUGGGCACUCUAAAGGGACUGCCGGUGUUAAACCGGAGGAAGGUGGGGAUGACGUCAAGUCCUCAUGGCCUUUAUGACCAGGGCUACACACGUACUACAAUGGCCGAUACAAAGGGCAGCGACACUGCGAGGUGAAGCCAAUCCCGUAAAAUCGGUCUCAGUCCGGAUUGGAGUCUGCAACUCGACUCCAUGAAGUUGGAAUCGCUAGUAAUCGUGGAUCAGCAUGCCACGGUGAAUACGUUCCCGGGCCUU